Molecule: long non-coding RNA, 1405 nt
Organism: Ictalurus punctatus (channel catfish)
Lineage: Eukaryota; Metazoa; Chordata; Actinopteri; Siluriformes; Ictaluridae
Exons: 2
Source: RefSeq, a predicted model, not a curated record
CUCUAAUACUUUUUCCUUCUAAAAGACUGAAUUUAAUACUGCAACAUGAAGCAGCAUAAACUGUCUGCAAAGAAACGCCUUAUAAAACCGAUUCUCUUCGGCACACUGAUUGCAGGACUUGCAACAGCAUUCUUUAACAGGCACUUGUUCUUUGAAGACGUGGAAGAGCUUCGAGCUCAGGAACGAGCUCGUAACGACGCCAAACGCUUAGAAGUAUUAGAAAGGAGGCAGAAACAAAUAGAAGAGCUGGUGGAGAAGAGAAAUGCAGGGGACAAUUGAUAUCAGACAACUUCUAUGCUAGGACAUAUCUGCUCACCUGUGCUGAAAGCAGACAAACAGGAUGGCCACCAUCUUAACUGUCAAAAAAGGAUGAUUGUUUUCCGUGCAAAAUUGCAGCUACACAAGGAAAAAGAAAGUUCAUCAGAGAACUACUCUUGCAGCUGAGGGAAUCAAAAAAGGGGACCUUUCUGUUUUUGUGGACAAAAAGAAUUCCAGUUAAUUAAUUGUUGAGUAUUGAACAACCCCACUAAAUAACCACCAAGAAGCUGUGUGCUAUCUGUGGACUAAACAUGGCAAUGAGAAGAUGGGCCAGCACAAGAGCUAUAAUAUGACAGUAUUUGUACGUCAACCACAGAUUUGUGUUGGCUAGUGAAUGUAAAAUUGCUUAAAAAUUUGCUUGUAUAAGAUAAGCUCAGUCAAUGCUUUUUUUUUUCCUGUCACAGUGACACAUUAUUAUGCUCUCAUCAUUAGCCCAGUACCUGCAAAGUGAAAUAUACACUCACCAUGCACUUUAUUAGGAACACCUGCACAUUCAUACUUUUAUACAAUCAGCCAAUCAUGUGGUGGCAGCACAGUGCAGAAAAUCCUGCAGAUACCGAGCAGUCAAGAGCUUCACUUAAUGUUAACAUCAAACAUCAGAAUGAAGAAUCUGUGUCUGAUCUCUGUGACUCUGUAAUCAUGGCCUGGUUGUUGGUGCCAUAUGGGCUGGUUUGAGUUUUUCAGAAACUGCUGAACUCCUGGGAUUUUCACUUUUUCACUUUCCAUGCUUUGAUCAAAGCCACAGAGAUCACACUUUUCCCACAUUCUGAUGUUUGAUGUGAACAUUAGCUGAAACUCUUGACCUGUUUCUGUGUAAUAUUUUGCAUUACACUGCUGCCACAUGAUUGGCUGAUUGUGGCAUGAAUGGUAUUCCUAAUAAAGUGGAUGGAUAGUGUAUAUAUUAUUACAGUGUAAAAAAAAGUCAAAUUGUCACCCAUUUCUAUAAAAGAAAAUUAAAUAUUUUAUAAACACUCAAAUCGCCUUAUGCAAAACUUUGGCAAAAGGUUAAUGAACAUUCUAAAGCAGGAAUUGUUUUUCAGGCAUUUGUAACAUGUCUCUUUUCUAAAAAUAAACCUUUGCACCUUCA